Non-coding RNA from Schizosaccharomyces pombe (fission yeast), 510 nucleotides. The record is from the annotation of a GenBank genome assembly. Lineage: Eukaryota; Fungi; Ascomycota; Schizosaccharomycetes; Schizosaccharomycetales; Schizosaccharomycetaceae.
GUUUAAUGAAUCAACAGGUAGUUUGCAAAAUUGCCUUUACCAAAUUGGCUGUAUAUAAUAUACGUGAUCGAUAUUGUAGCUGGUUCAUAUGAACCAAUUUAUUACUGCGACAUGAUAUUGUAUUACCAAAUCUGCGUUGAUUCAGCUGAUUAAGACGUUGUCAAGAAAUGUUGAACUUCUCGCAAUAAAAACGUUUUUAUUUUACUACUUAGGCUUACCUUUAUCCCCUUUUGAAAUACGUCAAAUACAUAUAUGUUUGGAGGAACAGUAUCAAACAACUAAUGAAAAUAUUCAAUUGAAUGAUUGUGAACAAAAAGGGAGUGCAUAGUUGAGAUUUUUUGUUUAUUUUACCUCCAAGAAAGCUAAUAUAUAAGGAGAAUAAACAUUUUGCAUCUUAUUCGGUCGUGAUUAAAUACUAUCCAAAAACGCAUACCUCUCGAAAAAACAGACAGAUAUAUUAGAAAGAUAAAGAAAGCUAUUAUACCGAUGAAAUUAAAUUAAUAAAAGUAA